CAUAGGGCGUUGCCCUAUGCUAUGAUAUUUCGCACCGUUGGUGCU
This is a small RNA of Phycisphaerae bacterium, 45 nucleotides long. It matches the Rfam family "Acido-Lenti-1 RNA". Lineage: Bacteria; Pseudomonadati; Planctomycetota; Phycisphaerae. The record is from Rfam.